CACGUAGGGGGCGAGCGUUGUCCGGAAUUACUGGGCGUAAAGGGCGCGUAGGCGGUAGUUUAAGUCAGAUGUGAAAACCUUGGGCUUAACCUGAGGAUGGCAUUUGAAACUGGAUUACUUGAGGGCAGGAGAGGAAAGCGGAAUUCCCAGUGUAGCGGUGAAAUGCGUAGAUAUUGGGAAGAACACCGGUGGCGAAGGCGGCUUUCUGGACUGAACCUGACGCUGAGGCGCGAAAGCCAGGGGAGCGAACGGGAUUAGAUACCCCGGUAGUCCUGGCCGUAAACGAUGGAUACUAGGUGUGGGAGGUAUCGACCCCUUCCGUGCCGCAGUUAACACAAUAAGUAUCCCGCCUGGGGAGUACGGCCGCAAGGCUGAAACUCAAAGGAAUUGACGGGGGCCCGCACAAGCGGUGGAGCAUGUGGUUUAAUUCGAUGCAACGCGAAGAACCUUACCAGGUCUUGACAUCCCUUCGGCCGGUGCAGAGAUGUACCCUCUCUUCGGAGCGAAGGAGACAGGUGGUGCAUGGCU
This 528-nucleotide ribosomal RNA is filed under the name uncultured bacterium. RNAcentral describes it as "bacterial SSU rRNA". It matches the Rfam family "Bacterial small subunit ribosomal RNA", at positions 524 to 1050 of the family's 1533-position model. The record is from RNAcentral.